This 384-nucleotide ribosomal RNA is filed under the name uncultured bacterium. RNAcentral's name for it is "bacterial SSU rRNA". It matches the Rfam family "Bacterial small subunit ribosomal RNA", at positions 29 to 440 of the family's 1533-position model. The record is from RNAcentral.
AACGAACGCUGGCGGCAGGCUUAACACAUGCAAGUCGAACGAUGUAGCAAUACAUAGUGGCGCACGGGUGAGUAACGCGUGGGAAUGUACCAUAUAGUGGGGAAUAACUUUGGGAAACUAAAGCUAAUACCGCAUACGCCCUUCGGGGGAAAGAUUUAUCGCUAUAUGAUCAGCCCGCGUGAGAUUAGGUAGUUGGUGGGGUAAUGGCCUACCAAGCCUACGAUCUCUAGCUGGUCUGAGAGGAUGAUCAGCCACACUGGAACUGAGACACGGUCCAGACUCCUACGGGAGGCAGCAGUGGGGAAUAUUGGACAAUGGGCGAAAGCCUGAUCCAGCCAUGCCGCGUGAAUGAUGAAGGCCUUAGGGUUGUAAAGUUCUUUCGCC